AUCCAACUGACAAGUCUCAAAUAGGACGAAACGCGCGUCCUGGAC
This 45-nucleotide non-coding RNA is filed under the name Schistosoma curassoni. Lineage: Eukaryota; Metazoa; Platyhelminthes; Trematoda; Strigeidida; Schistosomatidae. The record is from RNAcentral.